This 420-nucleotide ribosomal RNA is filed under the name uncultured archaeon. Its description in RNAcentral is "partial 16S ribosomal RNA". It matches the Rfam family "Archaeal small subunit ribosomal RNA", at positions 323 to 746 of the family's 1478-position model. The record is from RNAcentral.
CUACGGGAGGCAGCAGUCGAGGAAAUUUUUCAAUGCCCGCAAGGGUGAACGAGUAAGCCAGAGUGUUUUCUUUACGAAAACUUUUGUCUGUUGUAAAAAGACAGACGAAUAAGGACUGGGCAAGACCGGUGCCAGCCGCCGCGGUAAUCCCGGCGGUCCAAGUCGCAUCCACAUUUAUUGGGUCUAAAACAUCCGUAGCUUGUUUUAUAAGUCUCUUGUGAAAUCCCAUAUCUCAAAUAUGGAACAUGCAAGAGAUACUAUAUUGCUAGAGACCGGAAGACGCAAAGAGUACGUAGGAGGUAGCGGUAAAAUGUGUUAAUCUUCUUCGGACUAACAAUGGCGAAGGCACUUUGCGAGUACGGAUCUGACAGUGAGGGAUGAAGGCUAGGGGCGCAAAAGGGAUUAGAUACCCGGGUAGUC